This 253-nucleotide ribosomal RNA is filed under the name uncultured bacterium. Its description in RNAcentral is "partial 16S ribosomal RNA". It matches the Rfam family "Bacterial small subunit ribosomal RNA", at positions 524 to 776 of the family's 1533-position model. The record is from RNAcentral.
UACGUAGGGUGCGAGCGUUGUCCGGAAUUAUUUGGCGUAAAGAGCUUGUAGGCGGUUUGUCGCGUCUGCUGUGAAAAUCCGGGGCUCAACCCCGGACUUGCAGUGGGUACGGGCAGACUAGAGUGUGGUAGGGGAGACUGGAAUUCCUGGUGUAGCGGUGAAAUGCGCAGAUAUCAGGAGGAACACCGAUGGCGAAGGCAGGUCUCUGGGCCACUACUGACGCUGAGACGCGAAAGCGUGGGUAGCAAACAGG